UACGGAGGGAGCUAGCGUUGUUCGGAAUUACUGGGCGUAAAGCGCACGUAGGCGGCUUUGUAAGUUAGAGGUGAAAGCCUGGGGCUCAACCCCAGAAUUGCCUUUAAGACUGCAUCGCUUGAAUCCAGGAGAGGUGAGUGGAAUUCCGAGUGUAGAGGUGAAAUUCGUAGAUAUUCGGAAGAACACCAGUGGCGAAGGCGGCUCACUGGACUGGGUAUUGACGCUGAGGUGGCGAAAGCGUGGGGAGCAAACAGG
Molecule: ribosomal RNA, 255 nt
Filed under: uncultured bacterium
Lineage: Bacteria
Description: partial 16S ribosomal RNA
Rfam family: Bacterial small subunit ribosomal RNA
Source: RNAcentral